GCCCCCGUAGCUCAGGGGAUAGAGCAGAGGUUUCCUAAACCUUGUGCGUAGGUUCGAGUCCUACCGGGGGCAUCA
RNAcentral lists this transfer RNA (75 nucleotides) under Gloeobacter violaceus SpSt-379. Its description in RNAcentral is "tRNA-Arg". It matches the Rfam family "tRNA". Rfam says of the family: Transfer RNA (tRNA) molecules are approximately 80 nucleotides in length. Lineage: Bacteria; Bacillati; Cyanobacteriota; Cyanophyceae; Gloeobacterales; Gloeobacteraceae. The record is from RNAcentral.